GAUGAACGCUGGCGGCGUGCUUAACACAUGCAAGUCGAACGAAGAUGCCGGAGUGCUUGCACUUUGGCAGACUGAGUGGCGGACGGGUGAGUAACGCGUGGGUAACCUGCCUUAUACAGGGGGAUAACAGUUGGAAACGACUGCUAAUACCGCAUAAGCGCACGGUAUCGCAUGAUACAGUGUGAAAAACUCCGGUGGUAUAAGAUGGACCCGCGUCUGAUUAGCUUGUUGGUGAGGUAACGGCCCACCAAGGCGACGAUCAGUAGCCGGCCUGAGAGGGUGAACGGCCACAUUGGGACUGAGACACGGCCCAAAACUCCUACGGGAGGCAGCAGUGGGGAAUAUUGCACAAUGGGGGAAACCCUGAUGCAGCGACGCCGCGUGAGUGAUGAAGUAUUUCGGAUGUAAAACUCUAUCAGCAGGGAAGAUAAUGACGGUACCUGACUAAGAAGCACCGGCUAAAUACGUG
RNAcentral lists this ribosomal RNA (469 nucleotides) under uncultured bacterium. RNAcentral describes it as "bacterial SSU rRNA". It matches the Rfam family "Bacterial small subunit ribosomal RNA", at positions 28 to 507 of the family's 1533-position model. The record is from RNAcentral.